This 253-nucleotide ribosomal RNA is filed under the name uncultured bacterium. RNAcentral describes it as "partial 16S ribosomal RNA". It matches the Rfam family "Bacterial small subunit ribosomal RNA", at positions 524 to 776 of the family's 1533-position model. The record is from RNAcentral.
UACGGAGGGUGCAAGCGUUAUCCGGAUUCACUGGGUUUAAAGGGUGCGUAGGUGGGCAGGUAAGUCAGUGGUGAAAUCUCUGGGCUUAACCCGGAAACUGCCAUUGAUACUAUCUGUCUUGAAUACCGUGGAGGUUAGCGGAAUAUGUCAUGUAGCGGUGAAAUGCUUAGAUAUGACAUAGAACACCAAUUGCGAAGGCAGCUGGCUACACGAAUAUUGACACUGAUGCACGAAAGCGUGGGGAGCAAACAGG